RNAcentral lists this unclassified non-coding RNA (233 nucleotides) under Melitaea cinxia (Glanville fritillary). RNAcentral's name for it is "misc RNA ENSMCXG00005020163.1". Lineage: Eukaryota; Metazoa; Arthropoda; Insecta; Lepidoptera; Nymphalidae. The record is from RNAcentral.
GUAGAUAUUCUCUUUCAAACAAAAAAGAUUUAUUAAAGUGAUCUAAUGUGACCCAUCUUAUUUUUCGAUUCAGCCUGUAACAUCCCACAGCUGGGCAUAGGCAUCAUUCUCAAUUUCGGAGAAGGAUUGGACCUUAAUCCAUCAUGCUGCUCCACUGCAGAAUGUACGGGAAUCAUAAUGGCAACAACAGCGAUCAACUCCAGAGAGGUGUAGGGUUUUCCAAUCCGUAUACU